GUCCUUUUGUAUUUAUUUAAGGUCUAGUCUGCCCACUGAAUUUAAAUUUUAAAUGGCCGCAGUAUUUUGACUGUGCAAAGGUAGCAUAAUCAUUAGUUUUUUAAUUAAAAGCUUGUAUGAAAGGCUGGACGAGGUAAAAUCUGUCUCUAUUUAAAUUAUAAUAGAAUUUAACUUUUAAGUUAAAAGGCUUAAAUGUUAUUAAAAGACGAGAAGACCCUAUAGAUCUUUAUAAUUUAUUAAUUAAAAUUAAUUUAGAAUUAUUUAUAUUUUAUUUAAUUAAAUUAUUUUAUUGGGGUAAUAUAAAGAUUGAAUUAAUUCUUUUUUAUAAUAAACAUUAAUUUAUGAAUAUUAGAUGAUCCAGUUUUACUGAUUAUAAGAUUAAGUUACCUUAGGGAUAACAGCGUAAUUUUUUUAGAGAGUUCAUAUCGAUAAAAAAGUUUGCGACCUCGAUGUUGGAUUAAAGAUUAUUUUAGGUGUAGAAGCUUAAUAAUUUUGGUCUGUUCGACCAUUAAAUCUUUAC
RNAcentral lists this ribosomal RNA (520 nucleotides) under Carabus sackeni roberti. RNAcentral's name for it is "partial 16S ribosomal RNA". The stretch from base 394 to 520 matches the Rfam family "Bacterial large subunit ribosomal RNA", at positions 2473 to 2599 of the family's 2925-position model. Lineage: Eukaryota; Metazoa; Arthropoda; Insecta; Coleoptera; Carabidae. The record is from RNAcentral.